GGGCCCGCACAAGCGGUGGAGCAUGUGGUUUAAUUCGAUGAUACGCGAGGAACCUUACCAGGGCUUAAAUGCAGAACGACAGAGGUGGAAACACCUCCUUCUUCGGACGGUCUGCAAGGUGCUGCAUGGUUGUCGUCAGCUCGUGCUGUGAAGUGUCGGGUUAAGUCCCAUAACGAGCGCAACCCCUAUUUCUAGUUGCCAGCGGUUCGGCCGGGGACUCUAGAGAAACUGCCAGCGUAAGCUGUGAGGAAGGUGGGAUGACGUCAAAUCAUCACGGCCCUUACGUCCUGGGCUACACACGUGCUACAAUGGUAGGUACAGAGGGAAGCCACCCCGCGAGGGGAGCGGA
Molecule: ribosomal RNA, 349 nt
Filed under: uncultured bacterium
Lineage: Bacteria
Description: bacterial SSU rRNA
Rfam family: Bacterial small subunit ribosomal RNA
Source: RNAcentral